CCUACGGGAGGCAGCAGUGGGGAAUAUUGCGCAAUGGGGGAAACCCUGACGCAGCAACGCCGCGUGGGUGAUGAAGGUCUUCGGAUUGUAAAGCCCUGUUUUCUGGGACGAUAAUGACGGUACCAGAGGAGGAAGCCACGGCUAACUACGUGCCAGCAGCCGCGGUAAU
Molecule: ribosomal RNA, 169 nt
Filed under: uncultured Clostridium sp.
Lineage: Bacteria; Bacillati; Bacillota; Clostridia; Eubacteriales; Clostridiaceae
Also listed under: 1 other name
Description: partial 16S ribosomal RNA
Rfam family: Bacterial small subunit ribosomal RNA
Source: RNAcentral